This 545-nucleotide ribosomal RNA is filed under the name Epicoccum nigrum. RNAcentral describes it as "eukaryotic LSU rRNA". The stretch from base 174 to 327 matches the Rfam family "5.8S ribosomal RNA". The record is from RNAcentral. Lineage: Eukaryota; Fungi; Ascomycota; Dothideomycetes; Pleosporales; Didymellaceae.
UCCGUAGGUGAACCUGCGGAAGGAUCAUUACCUAGAGUUUGUAGACUUCGGUCUGCUACCUCUUACCCAUGUCUUUUGAGUACCUUCGUUUCCUCGGCGGGUCCGCCCGCCGAUUGGACAACAUUCAAACCCUUUGCAGUUGCAAUCAGCGUCUGAAAAAACAUAAUAGUUACAACUUUCAACAACGGAUCUCUUGGUUCUGGCAUCGAUGAAGAACGCAGCGAAAUGCGAUAAGUAGUGUGAAUUGCAGAAUUCAGUGAAUCAUCGAAUCUUUGAACGCACAUUGCGCCCCUUGGUAUUCCAUGGGGCAUGCCUGUUCGAGCGUCAUUUGUACCUUCAAGCUCUGCUUGGUGUUGGGUGUUUUGUCUCGCCUCUGCGUGUAGACUCGCCUUAAAACAAUUGGCAGCCGGCGUAUUGAUUUCGGAGCGCAGUACAUCUCGCGCUUUGCACUCAUAACGGCGACGUCCAAAAGUACAUUUUUACACUCUUGACCUCGGAUCAGGUAGGGAUACCCGCUGAACUUAAGCAUAUCAAUAAGCGGAGGA